UACGAAGGGGGCUAGCGUUGCUCGGAAUCACUGGGCGUAAAGGGCGCGUAGGCGGAUCUUUAAGUCGGGGGUGAAAGCCCAGGGCUCAACCCUGGAAUUGCCUUCGAUACUGGAGAUCUUGAGGCCGGAAGAGGUAAGUGGAACUGCGAGUGUAGAGGUGAAAUUCGUAGAUAUUCGCAAGAACACCAGUGGCGAAGGCGGCUUACUGGUCCGGUUCUGACGCUGAGGCGCGAAAGCGUGGGGAGCAAACAGG
This 253-nucleotide ribosomal RNA is filed under the name uncultured bacterium. RNAcentral describes it as "partial 16S ribosomal RNA". It matches the Rfam family "Bacterial small subunit ribosomal RNA", at positions 524 to 776 of the family's 1533-position model. The record is from RNAcentral.